RNAcentral lists this ribosomal RNA (491 nucleotides) under uncultured bacterium. RNAcentral describes it as "partial 16S ribosomal RNA". It matches the Rfam family "Bacterial small subunit ribosomal RNA", at positions 29 to 506 of the family's 1533-position model. The record is from RNAcentral.
AGUGAACGCUGGCGGUAGGCCUAACACAUGCAAGUCGAACGGCAGCACAGUAAGAGCUUGCUCUUACGGGUGGCGAGUGGCGGACGGGUGAGGAAUACAUCGGAAUCUACUUUUUCGUGGGGGAUAACGUAGGGAAACUUACGCUAAUACCGCAUACGACCUACGGGUGAAAGCAGGGGAUCUUCGGACCUUGCGCGAUUGAAUGAGCCGAUGUCGGAUUAGCUAGUUGGCGGGGUAAAGGCCCACCAAGGCGACGAUCCGUAGCUGGUCUGAGAGGAUGAUCAGCCACACUGAAACUGAGACACGGUCCAGACUCCUACGGGAGGCAGCAGGGGGGAAUUUUGGACAAUGGGCGCAAGCCUGAUCCAGCCAUACCGCGUGGGUGAAGAAGGCCUUCGGGUUGUAAAGCCCUUUUGUUGGGAAAGAAAAGCAGCAGGUUAAUACCCCGCUGUUCUGACGGUACCCAAAGAAUAAGCACCGGCUAACUUCGU